RNAcentral lists this ribosomal RNA (492 nucleotides) under uncultured bacterium. Its description in RNAcentral is "partial 16S ribosomal RNA". It matches the Rfam family "Bacterial small subunit ribosomal RNA", at positions 29 to 507 of the family's 1533-position model. The record is from RNAcentral.
AGUGAACGCUGGCGGUAGGCCUAAUACAUGCAAGUCGAACGGCAGCACAGUAAGAGCUUGCUCUUACGGGUGGCGAGUGGCGGACGGGUGAGGCAUACAUUGGAUUCUACUUUUUCGUGGGGGAUUACGUAGGGACACUUCCGCUAAUACCUCAUACGACCUACGGGUUAAAGCAGUGGAUCUUCGGACCUUUCGUGAUUGUUUUAGCUGAUGUCGGAUUAGCUAGUUGGCGAGGUAAAGGCCCACCAAGGCGACGAUCCGUAGCUGGUCUGAGAGGAUGAUCAGCCACACUGGAACUGAGACACGGUCCAGACUCCUACGGGAGGCAGCAGUGGGGAAUAUUGGACAAUGGGCGCAAGCCUGAUCCAGCCAUACCGCGUGAGUGAAGAAGGCCUUCGGGUUGUAAAGCCCUUUUAUUGGGAAAGAAAAGCAGCAGGUUAAUACCCCGCUGUUCUGACGGUACCCAAAGAAUAAGCACCGGCUAACUUCGUG